AUAUCAAUACCGAUUACUGGGUAAAAAUAACCAACAAAGAGGGGAUUACAUCUAUCGGGUACUGGGUAGAAAACCACAUAAAUAGGACUUACAACUAUCGGUUACUGGGUAGAAGGCCACAAAAUCCGUUGGGGAAAGGAUGAACAAUUACUGGUUACUGAGCAAUUGAACAACUGAACCACAGGGAACUGCAAGGGAUAACAAGAAAGGAAUCAAUC
Molecule: long non-coding RNA, 218 nt
Filed under: Lathyrus oleraceus (garden pea)
Lineage: Eukaryota; Viridiplantae; Streptophyta; Magnoliopsida; Fabales; Fabaceae
Description: Pisum sativum (pea) long non-coding RNA (PSAT_LNC025041)
Source: RNAcentral